AGAGAAAGGGAUUGAACAAGAGCGGACACUCGGCGAAAAUUGGAAACCGGAAACACGUCACGCUAUAGUAUUAACAUCGACGAAUUGGGGCCGCGAGUAUCGAAAAAAAAGAAGAAUGUGAAAUGAGAUUAACAGAAAUUGUUUUAUUUUUUUUAAUCUUUCCCGGAAAAAUUAAAAAUAUCUGCGUAUAAAUUAAAUUAAACUUUGCGGCUUACUUCCGUUGCCUAGCGACAGGCGAACCGGCGAAUGACGAGCCAGAUGUUUGCGUCAUUCGUCAGACACACCGCCGAAGCGAGGGAGACCGGCCGCGCAUCUGAGCGUUGGACUGUUCGGGUACCCGUCUGCCUGUUUUUCUAUUUGGGAUUUAGCCUGGUUUGGUGGCCUCCCGGCGAAUUAUUGCGUUCAUUCGGAACUUCGACAUGGCAGCACUGCACUAUUGGACUACGGCAAGCUCACGUCGUCUGGUGGAGCUUCCUGCGGAAACUACUGCUGCUUACCUGGUGCCACAAAGCUGGAUGAAUGCACAAGAAGCCCCCGACGAGCAUUUACAAAGAACAAAAUAAACGUUAAUUUUUCCUCAUUUCACAA
This 588-nucleotide long non-coding RNA is filed under the name Dermacentor andersoni. Its description in RNAcentral is "uncharacterized LOC126547033". Lineage: Eukaryota; Metazoa; Arthropoda; Arachnida; Ixodida; Ixodidae. The record is from RNAcentral.